GUAUAUAGCCAUGCCGCCCUGAACGUGUCCAAUCUCGUCUGAUCUCAGAAGCUAAGGAGGAUCGAGCUUGGUUAUUACUUGGUUGAGAGACCACUUAGAAAUACCAAGUGCUGUAGGCA
Molecule: ribosomal RNA, 119 nt
Organism: Pteropus vampyrus (large flying fox)
Lineage: Eukaryota; Metazoa; Chordata; Mammalia; Chiroptera; Pteropodidae
Source: Ensembl